Molecule: non-coding RNA, 83 nt
Organism: Ceratobasidium sp. 394
Lineage: Eukaryota; Fungi; Basidiomycota; Agaricomycetes; Cantharellales; Ceratobasidiaceae
Source: the annotation of a GenBank genome assembly
GGUUGAUUAGCUCAGUUGGUUAGAGCGCCGAGCUAAUACGUCAUGUGACUCGGAGGCCAUCGGUUCGAGACCGAUAUUGACCA